UGGGGAAUUUUGGACAAUGGGGGAAACCCUGAUCCAGCCAUCCCGCGUGUGCGAUGAAGGCCUUCGGGUUGUAAAGCACUUUUGGCAGGAAAGAAACGUCAUGGGUUAAUACCCCGUGAAACUGACGGUACCUGCAGAAUAAGCACCGGCUAACUACGUGCCAGCAGCCGCGGUAAUACGUAGGGUGCAAGCGUUAAUCGGAAUUACUGGGCGUAAAGCGUGCGCAGGCGGUUCGGAAAGAAAGAUGUGAAAUCCCAGAGCUCAACUUUGGAACUGCAUUUAUAACUACCGGGCUAGGGUGUGUCAGAGGGAGGUGGAAUUCCGCGUGUAGCAGUGAAAUGCGUAGAUAUGCGGAGGAACACCGAUGGCGAAGGCAGCCUCCUGGGAUAACACUGACGCUCAUGCACGAAAGCGUGGGGAGCAAACAGG
Molecule: ribosomal RNA, 429 nt
Filed under: Acidobacteriota bacterium
Lineage: Bacteria; Pseudomonadati; Acidobacteriota
Description: Acidobacteria bacterium partial 16S ribosomal RNA
Rfam family: Bacterial small subunit ribosomal RNA
Source: RNAcentral